UACGUAGGGGGCGAGCGUUAUCCGGAUUUAUUGGGCGUAAAGCGUGUGUAGGCGGCUUGUUAAGUUUAAGAUAAAAGCCUGGGGCUCAACUCCAGUUCGUCUUAAAAACUGGCAGGCUUGAGUGCGGUAGAGGUAAAUGGAAUUUCUAGUGUAGCGGUGAAAUGCGUAGAUAUUAGAAGGAACACCAGAGGCGAAGGCGAUUUACUGGGCCGUAACUGACGCUGAGGCACGAAAGCGUAGGUAGCAAAUA
RNAcentral lists this ribosomal RNA (250 nucleotides) under uncultured prokaryote. Its description in RNAcentral is "partial 16S ribosomal RNA". It matches the Rfam family "Bacterial small subunit ribosomal RNA", at positions 524 to 774 of the family's 1533-position model. The record is from RNAcentral.